CCCUCCCCCCUUACAGCCCCCCCACACUCUUUGCCCCCAUGGCAACUAACCUAUAAGGAUAUGUUUCAGAGGCUGGUUUCUCACACUUACGAAAAUUCACUAAGUGUUGUACAUAAUGAGUUAGGAUUUCUAAAGACACAGAUAAAGUUUUGACCCCGACAUCCGAUCUGAUGGUGGGACUGAAAAAAAAAAAAAAAGAUACACUAAAA
RNAcentral lists this unclassified non-coding RNA (209 nucleotides) under Tagetes patula. RNAcentral's name for it is "26S-18S external transcribed spacer 1". The record is from RNAcentral. Lineage: Eukaryota; Viridiplantae; Streptophyta; Magnoliopsida; Asterales; Asteraceae.